Molecule: microRNA precursor, 145 nt
Filed under: Gossypium barbadense (sea-island cotton)
Lineage: Eukaryota; Viridiplantae; Streptophyta; Magnoliopsida; Malvales; Malvaceae
Also listed under: 1 other name
Description: MIR7502 microRNA precursor family
Rfam family: MIR7502 microRNA precursor family
Source: Rfam by way of RNAcentral
UGUUAAAAUUUUUAUCUAUUUAUAUUAUUAAAAAUUGAUGUCAUCGACAGAAUACCCAUAAAAUAAUAUGUGAUAUGGCAUGUAUAUCUCAUACUGAUGCAUAGUAAUAAACCUUUAAUAAUAAAAAUGAAUAAAAUUUUAAAAA